This 774-nucleotide ribosomal RNA is filed under the name uncultured Neocallimastigales. RNAcentral's name for it is "partial large subunit ribosomal RNA". It matches the Rfam family "Eukaryotic large subunit ribosomal RNA", at positions 26 to 635 of the family's 3401-position model. The record is from RNAcentral. Lineage: Eukaryota; Fungi; Neocallimastigomycota; Neocallimastigomycetes; Neocallimastigales.
CGCAUCUGUGCAUGCAGCAUAUCAAUAAGCGGAGGAAAAGAAACUAACAAGGAUUCCCCUAGUAACGGCGAGUGAAGCGGGAAGAGCUCAAAUUUGAAAUCUUAAAGGGUUUCCCUUUACGAAUUGUAGUUUAAAGAAGUGUUUUCUGUUGAGGUUUUGGUAAAAGUUCUUUGGAAUAGGACAUCAUAGAGGGUGAGAAUCCCGUAUUUGACCUUUACUUUCAACUUUGUGAUACACUUUCAAAGAGUCGGAUUGUUUGGGAAUGCAGUCCAAAAUGGGUGGUAAAUUUCAUCUAAAGCUAAAUAUUGGCGAGAGACCGAUAGCGAACAAGUACCGUGAGGGAAAGAUGAAAAGAACUUUGAAAAGAGAGUUAGACAGUACGUGAAAUUGUCAAAAGGGAAGCGUUUGACACCAGUGUUGUUUUUCUGAAAAUCAAUUAAAGAACUGUUUAUGCUAAGCUGUUUAGACUUUAUCAGCUAUCUGUUUAGUUUUAGGCUUUUCUUUAAUGCACUUUUCAGUUAACAAGUCAACAUCAAUUUCUUUUGCUGUAAAAAAGCUUGAGGAAGGUGGCUUGAGAUUCGUCUUAAGUGUUUAUAGCCUCUUGCCUAUGCAGUCGGAGAGAUUGAGGUCUGCAGCGUAGAUCCUUCGGGGCUAAAUGCAUUUGUGCUAAGUUAUAGCAUUUUAUAGACAACUUGUUGACUAUGACUUGUCUUGUAGCUUACUCGCUUAUGUUAUUUUACCUACGCUUAGGAUGUUGAACGCGCACAGAGUCUC